CUUUACUGUAGCCUGGUAUUGGGUUCGGGCUUUGACUGUGCAGGAUAGGUGGGAGACUAUGAAGCAAUCCUUGUGGGGGUUGCUGAGUCAACGGUGAGAUACCACUCUGUCAGAGCUAGAAUUCUAACUAAAUGCCGUUAUCCGGCUUUGGAACCGUAUCAGGUGGGCAGUUUGACUGGGGCGGUCGCCUCCAAAAAGGUAACGGAGGCGUACAAAGGUUACCUCAGACUGGUUGGAAAUCAGCCGUAGAGUGUAAAGGCAGAAGAGAGCUUGACUGCAAGAGCUACAACUCGAGCAGGGUGGAAACACGGCCUUAGUGAUCCGACGGCGCUGAGUGGAAGGGCCGUCGCUCAACGGAUAAAAGUUA
Molecule: ribosomal RNA, 367 nt
Filed under: uncultured organism
Description: bacterial LSU rRNA
Rfam family: Bacterial large subunit ribosomal RNA
Source: RNAcentral